Molecule: ribosomal RNA, 505 nt
Filed under: uncultured bacterium
Lineage: Bacteria
Description: partial 16S ribosomal RNA
Rfam family: Bacterial small subunit ribosomal RNA
Source: RNAcentral
GACGAACGCUGGCGGCGUGCCUAAUACAUGCAAGUAGAACGCACAGUUUAUACCGUAGCUUGCUACACCAUAGACUGUGAGUUGCGAACGGGUGAGUAACGCGUAGGUAACCUGCCUGGUAGCGGGGGAUAACUAUUGGAAACGAUAGCUAAUACCGCAUAAUAUUGAUUAUUGCAUGAUAAUUGAUUGAAAGAUGCUAUUGCAUCACUACCAGAUGGACCUGCGUUGUAUUAGCUAGUAGGUGAGGUAGCGGCUCACCUAGGCGACGAUACAUAGCCGACCUGAGAGGGUGAUCGGCCACACUGGGACUGAGACACGGCCCAGACUCCUACGGGAGGCAGCAGUAGGGAAUCUUCGGCAAUGGACGAAAGGCUGACCGAGCAACGCCGCGUGAGUGAAGAAGGUUUUCGGAUCGUAAAGCUCUGUUGUAAGAGAAGAACGGGUGUGAGAGUGGAAAGUUCACACUGUGACGGUAUCUUACCAGAAAGGGACGGCUAACUACGUG